UACGUAGGGCGCAAGCGUUGUCCGGAAUUAUUGGGCGUAAAGAGCUCGUAGGCGGUUUGUCGCGUCUGCUGUGAAAACCUAAGGCUCAACCUUGGGCUUGCAAUGGGUACGGGCAGACUAGAGUGCGGUAGGGGUGACUGGAAUUCCUGGUGUAGCGGUGGAAUGCGCAGAUAUCAGGAGGAACACCGAUGGCGAAGGCAGGUCACUGGGCCGCAACUGACGCUGAGGAGCGAAAGCAUGGGGAGCGAACAGG
RNAcentral lists this ribosomal RNA (253 nucleotides) under uncultured bacterium. Its description in RNAcentral is "partial 16S ribosomal RNA". It matches the Rfam family "Bacterial small subunit ribosomal RNA", at positions 524 to 776 of the family's 1533-position model. The record is from RNAcentral.